CCUACGGGAGGCAGCAGUGAGGAAUAUUGGUCAAUGGGCGCGAGCCUGAACCAGCCAAGUAGCGUGAAGGAUGACUGCCCUACGGGUUGUAAACUUCUUUUAUAAAGGAAUAAAGUGAGGCACGUGGGCCGUUUUGUAUGUACUUUAUGAAUAAGGAUCGGCUAACUCCGUGCCAGCAGCCGCGGUAAUACGGAGGAUCCGAGCGUUAUCCGGAUUUAUUGGGUUUAAAGGGAGCGUAGAGGGCUUGUUAGGUCAGUUGUGAAAGUUUGCGGCUCAACCGUAAAAUUGCAAUUGAUACUGGCAGUCUUGCGUACAGUUGAGGUCGGCGGCAUUCGUGGUGUAGCGGUGCAAUGCUUAGAUAUCACG
This 366-nucleotide ribosomal RNA is filed under the name uncultured bacterium. Its description in RNAcentral is "partial 16S ribosomal RNA". It matches the Rfam family "Bacterial small subunit ribosomal RNA", at positions 338 to 701 of the family's 1533-position model. The record is from RNAcentral.